RNAcentral lists this ribosomal RNA (1585 nucleotides) under human gut metagenome. RNAcentral describes it as "bacterial LSU rRNA". It matches the Rfam family "Bacterial large subunit ribosomal RNA", at positions 1405 to 2925 of the family's 2925-position model. The record is from RNAcentral.
CAAAACCGAGACGGUGAGUACUAACCUCCGCCUCGUGGUGGUUCCUUCCUUCGGGUUGGUAUCGCCGCGUGGCGUUGGGAGCGUAGCCGCAGUAGGUCAGCGCAGGGGUGACACGGAAUGGGAGCCGGCCGCGGAGGUGGUCUUCCGUGGUCAAGCACGCAGGGCGUGGGACAGGCAAAUCCGUCCCGCAUGGGUCCGAGGUGCGAUGAUGGGGGCCUUAUGGCCCGAUAUCCGGUGAUCCCGGCUGCCGAGAAAAGCUUCGGCGUCAGGCUCGAAGCCGCCCGUACCCCAAACCGACACUGGUGGUCAGGUAGAGAAUACCAAAGCGAUCGAGCGAAUCCUGGUCAAGGAACUCGGCAAAUCACUCCCGUUCCUUCGGUUUAAGGGAGACCCCCGAUGGUGAACACACUUGCUGUGGGAGCUUUUGGGGGUGGCACAGACUAGGGGGUAGCGACUGUUUACCAAAAACACAGGUGCAUGCGAAGGCGCAAGCCGCUGUAUAUGCACUGACGCCUGCCCGGUGCCGGAAGGUUAAGAGGAUCCGUCAGCCUUCGGGUGAAGCGGUGAAUUCAAGCCCCGGUAAACGGCGGUGGUAACUAUAACCAUCCUAAGGUAGCGAAAUUCCUUGUCGGGUAAGUUCCGACCUGCACGAAUGGCGUAACGACUUCCCCACUGUCUCGACCAGGAGCUCGGCGAAAUUGCAGUACGAGUAAAGAUGCUCGUUAAGCGCAGAAGGACGAAAAGACCCCGGGACCUUUACUAUACCUUGGUAUUGGCAUUCGGUGUGGAUUGUGUAGCAUAGGCGGGAGGCCGAGAGGCGCGGUCGCCAGAUCGCGCGGAGCCGUAAGGUGAAAUACCGCUCUGUUCGCAUUGGAUGUCUAACCUCGAACAGUCAUCCUGUUCAGGGACAGUGCCUGGCGGGUAGUUUAACUGGGGCGGUUGCCUCCCAAAGAGUAACGGAGGCGCCCAAAGGUCCGCUCAGCCCGGUUGGCAAUCGGGUGGCGAGUGCAAGUGCACAAGCGGGCUUGACUGCGAGGACGACGGUCCGAGCAGGGACGAAAGUCGGGACUAGUGAUCCGGUGCCGGUGUACGGACGCGGCAUCGCUCAACGGAUAAAAGGUACCCCGGGGAUAACAGGCUGAUCAUUCCCAAGAGUCCAUAUCGACGGGAUGGUUUGGCACCUCGAUGUCGGCUCGUCGCAUCCUGGGGCUGGAGCAGGUCCCAAGGGUUCGGCUGUUCGCCGAUUAAAGCGGCACGCGAGCUGGGUUCAGAACGUCGUGAGACAGUUUGGUCUCUAUCCUCUGCGCUCGUUGGAAUGCUGAGGAGGCCUGCCCAUAGUACGAGAGGACCUGGGUGGACGAACCUCUGGUAUGCCGGUUGUCACGCCAGUGGCACGGCCGGUUGGCUACGUUCGGAAGGGAUAACCGCUGAAAGCAUCUAAGCGGGAAGCCUGCUCCAAGAUAAGCAUUCCGUGGAACCUUCGAGUUCCUGUAGUCCCCAUGCAGAACACGUGGUUGAUAGGCCGGACGUGGAAGCCCCGCGAGGGGUGGAGCCGACCGGUACUAACGGACGAAAGGCAACACUA